This 420-nucleotide ribosomal RNA is filed under the name uncultured bacterium. Its description in RNAcentral is "bacterial SSU rRNA". It matches the Rfam family "Bacterial small subunit ribosomal RNA", at positions 355 to 773 of the family's 1533-position model. The record is from RNAcentral.
UAAGGAAUAUUGGUCAAUGGACGCAAGUCUGAACCAGCCAUGCCGCGUGAAGGAUGAAGGUCCUCUGGAUUGUAAACUUCUUUUAUCUGGGACGAAAACAGGAUUUUUAUCUCAAUUGACGGUACCAGAGGAAUAAGCACCGGCUAACUCCGUGCCAGCAGCCGCGGUAAUACGGAGGGUGCGAGCGUUAUCCGGAUUUACUGGGUUUAAAGGGUGCGUAGGUGGGCUUAUAAGUCAGUGGUGAAAUCUCCGAGCUUAACUUGGAAACUGCCGUUGAUACUAUAGGUCUUGAAUUAUCUGGAGGUAAGCGGAAUAUGUCAUGUAGCGGUGAAAUGCUUAGAUAUGACAUAGAACACCAAUUGCGAAGGCAGCUUACUGCAUAUAAAUUGACGCUGAGGCACGAAAGCGUGGGGAUCAAAC